GUUCCGUAGGUGAACCUGCGGAAGGAUCAUUAUCGUACAAAAUGUGAGGGGCAUGCGAGGGCUGUCGCUGACCCAAGAGUCGUGCACGCCCGAGUGUGUCCUCUUGCAUAAUAAUCCAUCUCACCCUUUGUGCAUCACCGCGUGGGCACCCUUCGGGAUCAUCUCGGAGGGGGGCUCGCGUUUUCACACAAACCCCCCUUUUAAAAGUGUAGAAUGACCACAUUUAUGCAAUCAAUACAACUUUCAACAACGGAUCUCUUGGCUCUC
RNAcentral lists this unclassified non-coding RNA (267 nucleotides) under plant metagenome. RNAcentral's name for it is "partial contains small subunit ribosomal RNA, internal transcribed spacer 1, and 5.8S ribosomal RNA". The record is from RNAcentral.